UACGUAGGGGGCGAGCGUUGUCCGAAGUUACUGGGCGUAAAGCGCGCGUAGGCUGGUCGUUAAGUCUGCUGUGAAAGUCCAGGGCUCAACCCUGGAAUGCCAGUGGAAACUGUCAAGCUAGAGUCCGGAAGAGGCGAGUGGAACUCCUGGUGUAGCGGUGAAAUGCGCAGAUAUCAGGAAGAACACCAAUGGCGAAGGCAGCUCGCUGGGACGGUACUGACGCUGAGACGCGAAAGCGUGGGGAGCAAACAGG
This 253-nucleotide ribosomal RNA is filed under the name uncultured prokaryote. Its description in RNAcentral is "partial 16S ribosomal RNA". It matches the Rfam family "Bacterial small subunit ribosomal RNA", at positions 524 to 776 of the family's 1533-position model. The record is from RNAcentral.